Molecule: non-coding RNA, 2859 nt
Organism: Rattus norvegicus (Norway rat)
Lineage: Eukaryota; Metazoa; Chordata; Mammalia; Rodentia; Muridae
Source: RefSeq, a predicted model, not a curated record
UAUUGUCUCCUAGAGAGUUCUGGCAUCCUCUGUGAUGUCACCAGUGUUGUAGUGACAACCAGUGCCCUAGUUUCUCUCAGUCUGAGUCUGGCAGUUGCAAGCUAAGACAUGUUUUCCCGUCUUCGCAAGCGUUUUGGGAGGGGGAACGUCGAUUGUGGAGAGACUAGAGUGAAGGAGUCUAGCCUUUCCUCUCAAAGUAAUUAUGGACAAAGACAGCACUUCUGGGGAAUGUUCAGUAAGUUCUGGGCAGUGUAUUUUGAGCUUCCUGUCAGGGGGGCUGGAGGCUUAAGCUGACCUUUCUAGCCACAACAACUGGAGCAUCUGAAAAGGAAUUGAAUUUCCAUGAAUAUUACAAUUCUUAAAGUCAAGGAUUUCAGACCUUUAGUUUCCCCAUCCCCACUGGGAGGAUAAGGUAAGGCCAAUGCUAUUAUACUGUGAACUUCUGGCCUUUACUUUUCAGUGCAUUUGUUAUGUUACAUUGAUAUAAUAACACCAUCAGGAGUCAUGGAGGGUCCACCUUUUCUGAGUUUAGACAGGGCAGCAAUGUACUUCACUAUCAUUGCUUCUUUAAAUACAGUGGGUAUCUGACAGUAGGAACAGGGAGAGAAUUGUGCUCCAGGCAAUAACCUUAUGUUCUUAGACCUUCUCUGAUUUCUUCUAACUGGAAGGGUCAUCGUUAGCUUUAUAUAUUAGAGGUUGUGUGUUACAAACAUGUUUCUACAAUACAAAAGGUAUUUGGAACGUGUAGACCAAGAUGCAGCCUGUAACCUAUUGGCACUUCUGGGGUUUUGGUGUUUCAAAUAGGGGAACAGAUAAGUCUGUUGACCAUGUCCUCCUUGGAAAUGCAUUUUAAAUCUAAAGUUGUUGGCCUAGAGUACCAGGGUAGGACAUCUGAGUGUCUCCAAUCAUUCAAAUGUUGUAGAUGGUGAAUUUAUCAUCUGAGUUCUGAAACCACAGGGGUGAGGAAACCAAGCUGUACCCUGUUCAGCUGAUAAUAAUCCUGGAGAAGCCAUCUCCGUCGUCCAUGUAAGCACGUGAUAUCCGGCAUAGGGAACACCUGGCUGCUUACAUCUCUUGGUCUCUAUAGAGUAGUGGGAGAACUGAGAUCCACUGAGGAGGAUCUUAAGCAUAGACCAAUCGCCUAGCAGUGACACUGGGUUCCAGGCUUGUUCUCCUGUUUAGGCCUAACUCUGGCCUAUGUACACUCUAUGCAUUCUCCCCAUGCAGGUUCACUUGUGUUCUUCUACCUACAGACGCUGGGAGAGAAACAUCUUCCCCUGAAACUGCCCUAAGCGAGAAGCAGGCCAAGAAGGAAAAGGAGAGGCUGAUUAAAGAGCUGCAGCUCAUUACCGAGGAGAGAAAUGACCUGAGAUAUCGCCUGAGGUUUCUGACAGAGAGAUCCAAGAACAACAGGCCACACUUCAGGCCAAAUCCGUAUUACGAAGACCUGGAGAGAAUGGAGGAGGCGGUCAUGUCAAUUCUGCACAACUUAGAGAUGGAGAACACUGAGAUCCAUGAGAACAGCCAUAAGCUGAAGAAGGAGAUUACCUUCUCUAGGUAAGUCCUGGUCAGAAAGGCUAUCACCUGUGGAAUGGCCAUUUCUGAUUUCUUUGUUAUGGAUUGGAAGGUCUUCAGCUAUGAUUCUAUCUCUUGUGCUGUUUACACAUCAGUGUGCCAGGGUCAUUAGGACUCAGUUUUCAGUUCCAUAAAAGACUGUUACUCAUCCCAGGAUUGUCUAGGCAUCUUCAGAAGGCUCCAGAUAGAACAGUAGUGAUUGAAGUCAGCAGAAGGUUAUUAGGCUGACCUGGACCUAUGGUGUCAUACCAGGUUUUACAAAACUUAGUGCGUGGACCACAUGGUUAGCAUGACCUUCUCUUGGUUCUACUGACCUGCUUUGAGGGUGUUUGCCAACUACUAAUUGAUGUUGCCCCCAUGCAUUGGGCUUUCAUGGAUAGUUGUAGAUCCAUGUUCUUUUUGAGAGAUGCGGACACUAAUUGGUGCUCGGCCCAAACAAACAAUUUAUUCUUCCUGGAAUUAACUCUUUGUGGUUUGUGCAGCAGCCUUAUAUGUAUCGAGAUGUAUUUUAUUAACUCUUCAUGGGUACCUGGAACCUGGUAUGGUUAGUGGGACUUGGGAGUAGGAAUGGGAGAAAGGGCCAGCAUGAUCUUACUAUGCAGACUGUAUUUCCAGAAACCUGCUCAGCCAGCUCCUGAUGGAGAACACAUGUAGGAAGAAGUUGGUCCCACAGAAGCAGGGGAGCAAGGAGGGACAUCUUGAUUGUGCACUGAACCAGAAAUAUUUGGUUGACUUCAACCAGAAAGAUAAAGACCAGCAACGUCCAGAUCCAGCAUCAUCAGGUCUCAGAAAGUGCAAGAGAGCUGGAAUUGGACACACACCAGUAAGAGAGCUUCCUGAAGAAUGAGUUGCUUUCUCAGGAGUCCCUGAUGACAAACAUCCUGAAUGGUAACAACAUUUUUUGGAUGAGUAUUCUUCCUCAGAGUUAAUUUGUCAUUUCUUAGAGACCCUCAAUUUAUAUAACACUAAGCCAGCCUGACUGAUUGAGGUCUUACUCACUUUCUUUUUCAGAAAACAGCACUUGAGAGACAACUUGGGGGACUGCCUUUCAUUAUGUGUGCUAGAGGAGAAACAGCAAUACGUCUAUGCUUCUAAAUGUUCGUUAAGAAUAUGCUCUUUAGAAAUAUUUUUGUUUUGAUUUUCAUUGAAGUUUUCUUUUUGUUGUUUCAUAUUUAUAUGUUCUUGUUACUAUUUUUCACUUUGAAAUAUUUUUAAAUAUUUUUAUUCAUUUUAAUCCUGUUUUGUUGUCAAAAUGUAUUUGUUAUCAAUAAAAAUUGAAUUCUA